GCAUAUCAAUAAGCGGAGGAAAAGAAACUAACAAGGAUUCCCCUAGUAACGGCGAGUGAAGAGGGAAAAGCUCAAAUUUUAAAUCUGCCUUGUUUCAAGGUCGAGUUGUAAUUUGAAGAAGCGUUUUCUUGGGCACGCGACCGGUAGAAGUUCUUUGGAACAGGACAUCAUAGAGGGUGACAAUCCCGUCUGCGACCGGUCGUGCGUUCAUCUACGAUACGCUUUCAAAGAGUCGAGUUGUCUGGGAUUGCAGCUCCAAAUGGGUGGUAAACAUCACCUAAGGCUAAAUAUUGGCGAGAGACCGAUAGCGAACAAGUACCGUGAGGGAAAGAUGAAAAGAACUUUGAAAAGAGAGUUAAACAGUACGUGAAAUUGUUGAAAGGGAAACGAUUGAAGUCAGUCGUGCUGGCGCGAAAUCAACCCUCUCGUCGAGAGGUCACAUGGCGUGGCGAGCCUCAAAACCGUCACGAAGCGUGAACUCUUGGCGAAAAGGAGCACUUUCGUGUCCGCUGGUUAACAUCAAUUUCGAACGUCAUAAAAAGGCUGGAGGGAUGUGGCUCCUUCGGGAGUGUUAUAACCUUUAGCGGAAUGUGGUGGUCGGGAUUGAGGAUUGCAACGAAUACCUUUAGGGCUGUUCCACCUGGCUUCUCUUUGGUAUCCUGGUGACGACAGCUUGCUGACGUUGUUAGGAUUCGCCUUUGAACAGGCUAGAGUGUGAGCAAAUUCGUUAAGGAUGUUGACGUAAUGGCUUUAAACGAC
This 759-nucleotide ribosomal RNA is filed under the name Entrophospora claroidea. RNAcentral's name for it is "partial 28S ribosomal RNA". It matches the Rfam family "Eukaryotic large subunit ribosomal RNA", at positions 38 to 648 of the family's 3401-position model. Lineage: Eukaryota; Fungi; Glomeromycota; Glomeromycetes; Entrophosporales; Entrophosporaceae. The record is from RNAcentral.